RNAcentral lists this ribosomal RNA (468 nucleotides) under uncultured bacterium. RNAcentral describes it as "partial 16S ribosomal RNA". It matches the Rfam family "Bacterial small subunit ribosomal RNA", at positions 28 to 507 of the family's 1533-position model. The record is from RNAcentral.
GACGAACGCUGGCGGCGUGCUUAACACAUGCAAGUCGAACGGAAAGGCCCUGCCUUUGUGGGGUGCACGAGUGGCGAACGGGUGAGUAACACGUGAGUGACCUGCCCUGGACUUCGGGAUAACCCCAGGAAACUGGGGCUAAUACCGGAUAGGAGCAUGUGCUGCAUGGUGGGGGGUGGAGAGUUUCUGCGGUUGGGGAGGGACUCGGGGCUUAUCAGUGUGUUGGUGGGGUAGUGGCUUACCAAGGCGUUGACGGGUAGCCGGCCUGAGAGGGUGACCGGCCACAUUGGGACUGAGACACGGCCCAGACUCCUACGGGAGGCAGCAGUGGGGAAUAUUGCACAAUGGGCGGAAGCCUGAUGCAGCAACGCCGCGUGCGGGAUGACGGCCUUCGGGUUGUAAACCGCUUUCGCCUUUGACGAAGCGUGUGUGACGGUAAUUGGUAAAGAAGCACCGGCUAACUACGUG